GAUGAACGCUGGCGGCGUGCCUAACACAUGCAAGUCGAACGGUAACACUUCGGGUGACGAGUGGCGGACGGCUGAGUAACGCGUGGGAACGUGCCCCAAAGUGAGGAAUAACUGCCCGAAAGGGUAGCUAAUGCCGCAUAUGGUCUUCGGAUUAAAGUAUUUAUACGCUUUGGGAGCGGCCCGCGUCGGAUUAGGUUGUUGGUGAGGUAAAGGCUCACCAAGCCGACGAUCCGUAGCUGGUCUGAGAGGAUGAUCAGCCAGACUGGAACUGAGACACGGUCCAGACUCCUACGGGAGGCAGCAGUGAGGAAUCUUCCACAAUGGGGGCAACCCUGAUGGAGCAACGCCGCGUGCAGGACGAAGGCCUUCGGGUUGUAAACUGCUUUUAUAAGUGAGGAAUAUGACGGUAACUUAUGAAUAAGGAUCGGCUAACUACGUGCCAGCAGCCGCCGUAACAC
This 458-nucleotide ribosomal RNA is filed under the name uncultured bacterium. RNAcentral's name for it is "bacterial SSU rRNA". It matches the Rfam family "Bacterial small subunit ribosomal RNA", at positions 28 to 526 of the family's 1533-position model. The record is from RNAcentral.